GCAAACUUGGUCAUUUAGAGGAAGUAAAAGUCGUAACAAGGUCUCCGUUGGUGAACCAGCGGAGGGAUCAUUAAAGAGUUUUGAUAACUCCCAAAACCCAUGUGAACUUACCUUCUGUUGCCUCGGCGGGUCGUAUCUACCCUGUGGCCUCCUACCCUGUAGGAGGACUACCUGGUAGUCACGGGUAUGCCUGCCAAUGGCCCAUUAAACUCUGUUAAGUAUAUGUUAUUCUGAAUUUAUAACUAAAUAAGUUAAAACUUUCAACAACGGAUCUCUUGGUUCUGGCAUCGAUGAAGAACGCAGC
This 304-nucleotide unclassified non-coding RNA is filed under the name uncultured fungus. RNAcentral describes it as "partial contains small subunit ribosomal RNA, internal transcribed spacer 1, and 5.8S ribosomal RNA". The stretch from base 1 to 73 matches the Rfam family "Eukaryotic small subunit ribosomal RNA", at positions 1759 to 1831 of the family's 1831-position model. Lineage: Eukaryota; Fungi. The record is from RNAcentral.